UGAAGUUUCACCACCACCUCCAGCACCAAUACCAGUGAAGUUUUCUCCCCCACCCACAAACAAUCAACAUCACCCACCAGCCCCACCAGAAGGGCCAGUAAAUCCAAACCCAAGUCCUAAUCCACCGUCAGGGAGCGGUGAAGUUUCACCACCACCUCCAGCACCAGUAAUGUUUUUUCCACCAUCAUCACCAGGAGGGCCGACGAAUCCUCACCCAAGUCCUAAUCCACCCUCAGGUAGUGGCAGUGAAAUUUCACCACCACCUCCAGCACCAGUAAAGUUUCUUCCACCAUCCUCACCAGGAGGGACGACGAAUCCUCACCCAAGUCCAAAUCCACCUUCAGGUAGCAGCAGUGAAGUUUCACCACCACCUCCAGCACCAAUAAAGUUUCUUCCACCAUCCUCACCCGGAAGGCCGGCGAAUCCUCACCCAAGUCCUAAUCCACCUUCAGGGAGCGGCAGUGAAGUUUCACCACCACCUCCAGCACCCGUAAAAUUUCUUCCACCAUCCACGCCAGAAGGGCCAAUUAAUCCUCAACCAAAUCCAAAUCCAC
This 554-nucleotide long non-coding RNA is filed under the name Aquilegia coerulea. RNAcentral's name for it is "long non-coding RNA (ACOE_LNC001580)". Lineage: Eukaryota; Viridiplantae; Streptophyta; Magnoliopsida; Ranunculales; Ranunculaceae. The record is from RNAcentral.